This 744-nucleotide ribosomal RNA is filed under the name uncultured bacterium. RNAcentral describes it as "bacterial SSU rRNA". It matches the Rfam family "Bacterial small subunit ribosomal RNA", at positions 8 to 796 of the family's 1533-position model. The record is from RNAcentral.
AGAGUUUGAUCCUGGCUCAGAACGAACGCUGGCGGCAGGCCUAACACAUGCAAGUCGAACGCGUGUAGCAAUACACGAGUGGCGCACGGGUGAGUAACACGUGGGAAUCUACCCAGAGGUUCGGAAUAACCGCGGGAAACUGCGGCUAAUACCGGAUAUCCCCUACGGGGGAAAGAUUUAUCGCCUUUGGACGAGCCCGCGUCCGAUUAGCUAGUUGGUGAGGUAAUGGCUCACCAAGGCUCCGAUCGGUAGCUGGUCUGAGAGGACGACCAGCCACACUGGAACUGAGAUACGGUCCAGACUCCUACGGGAGGCAGCAGUGGGGAAUAUUGGGCAAUGGAGGCAACUCUGACCCAGCCAUGCCGCGUGGGUGACGAAGGUCUUCGGAUUGUAAAGCCCUUUCGGCGGGGACGAUGAUGACGGUACCCGCAGAAGAAGCCCCGGCUAACUUCGUGCCAGCAGCCGCGGUAAUACGAAGGGGGCUAGCGUUGUUCGGAAUUACUGGGCGUAAAGGGCGUGUAGGCGGCCCGUUAAGACAGGUGUGAAAUUCCUGGGCUCAACCCAGGACGUGCGCCUGUGACUGGCGGGCUUGAGUCCGGGAGAGGAUGGUGGAACUCCCAGUGUAGAGGUGAAAUUCGUAGAUAUCGGGAGGAACACCAGUGGCGAAGGCGGCCCUCUGGACGGUGACUGACACUGAGAUGCGAAAGCGUGGGGAGCAAACAGGAUUAGAUACCCUGGUAGUCG